GCGGCUGCGGCCAAGCUGGGUCCGAGCAUCCCGCGGCUCUGGAGCCGCCCGGCCCGGACAUGGCGACCGUCCGGGCCUCUCUGCGAGGUGCGCUGCUCCUUCUGCUGGCCGUGGCGGGGGUCGCGGAGGUGGCAGGGGGCCUGGCUCCGGGCAGUGCGGGUGCAUUGUGUUGUAAUCAUUCAAAGGAUAACCAAAUGUGCCGUGAUGUAUGUGAACAGAUUUUCUCCUCAAAAAGUGAAUCCCGACUAAAACAUCUGUUGCAGCGAGCCCCAGAUUAUUGCCCAGAGACAAUGGUUGAAAUUUGGAAUUGUAUGAAUUCAUCUUUGCCAGGUGUGUUUAAGAAGUCUGAUGGCUGGGUUGGCUUAGGCUGCUGUGAACUGGCUAUUGCCUUGGAGUGUCGACAGGCAUGCAAGCAGGCAUCUUCAAAGAAUGAUAUUUCCAAAGUUUGCAGAAAAGAAUAUGAGAAUGCUCUUUUCAGUUGCAUUAGCAGAAAUGAAAUGGGCUCGGUUUGUUGCAGUUAUGCAGGUCAUCACACAAACUGCCGAGAAUACUGUCAAGCCAUUUUUCGAACAGACUCUUCUCCUGGUCCAUCUCAGAUAAAAGCAGUGGAAAAUUAUUGCGCCUCUAUUAGUCCACAAUUAAUACAUUGUGUGAACAAUUAUACUCAAUCUUAUCCAAUGAGGAACCCAACGGAUAUGUUUGAAUUUUUUGCCAAUGAGCAAUUAUUACUUUUGUAAUUAAAAAGUCAUAACAAUGAGAAGAGAGCCUGAUAUCUUUUAAAAAUUAGGGCCUCCUGAUGAAACUGCACCUGAAAUGGCUCUUCAGAGUCUCCGCUUUGUACAUCCUGGAAUCCAUUUUCUUCACCUAGAGGUGACCAGAUUUAUAAAAACUGACUGAUUGACCAAACUGACCAAAGACUGAUUUAUAAGAUGUCAAUGUUUUGAUUUACACUGGGAUAUUGAAAGAGGCUCUGUGGCUUAUGUCUGUAAUCUCAGCGCUUUGUGAUGCUGAGGCAGGAGAAUCGCUUGAGGCCAAGAGUUUGAGACCAGCCUGGGUAACAAAGUGAGAACCCAGCUCUACAAAAAAUAAUAAUAAUAAUUAGCUGGGUGUGGUGACACACCCAGCUCCUCAGGAGGCUGAUGCUGGAGGAUCGCUUGAGCCCAAGAGUUCAAGGUUGCAGUGAGCCAUCAUCACUUCACUGCACUCCAGCCAGGGCAACAAAGCAAGACCCUGCCUCGGGGGGAAAAAAAAAGACGAAAAGAAAGAAAGACUUGUUUUUUGUAACUCAAUAGCAGUACUGUGUGCCUUGUUUGGCCACCAUCUAAAUCAGAACUCUAAUGGCUUUUGACAUCCUUUGGUGUAGCUGUGUGGUCAAAAUCAGAGGAUGAAGCAUUGCCCCAAUAACCUUCAUUUGUUUUAAAGGCAGAUCUGUGCUCUCUGACAUUUAGUCUGUACGAGGUACUGCUGGAGCUAAGGAGAUGGCAGCUCAAUAAAAAAGCAGAAAGAGGUUUUAAGGGUAGAACAACCGUCUCCAUCUUUGCCAAUACAGAGGAAUCUGGAAAAGAAGGCGCCAAACAGAUAUGCACAGAUUUCUUCCAAAGUCAGAGAAAACUACUUCAAAGAAGCCCUUCUGAAUUCUGUAAUAUGGUUGAAAGUGUUUUUUUAUUUCUGAUUCUUUGAGAAAAUUAAAGGCAGAGCCAAACUGAUAUCUUGUCA
This 1716-nucleotide small RNA is filed under the name Pan troglodytes (chimpanzee). Its description in RNAcentral is "processed transcript". Lineage: Eukaryota; Metazoa; Chordata; Mammalia; Primates; Hominidae. The record is from RNAcentral.